CACGCCGUAAACGAUGGAUACUAGGUGUAGGAGGUAUCGACCCCUUCUGUGCCGGAGUUAACACAAUAAGUAUCCCACCUGGGGAGUACGGCCGCAAGGUUGAAACUCAAAGGAAUUGACGGGGGCCCGCACAAGCAGUGGAGUAUGUGGUUUAAUUCGAAGCAACGCGAAGAACCUUACCAGGGCUUGACAUACCAUUGACGUACUUAGAGAUAGGUAUUUCCUUCGGGACAAUGGAUACAGGUGG
This 247-nucleotide ribosomal RNA is filed under the name uncultured Acetivibrio sp. RNAcentral describes it as "partial 16S ribosomal RNA". It matches the Rfam family "Bacterial small subunit ribosomal RNA", at positions 796 to 1041 of the family's 1533-position model. Lineage: Bacteria; Bacillati; Bacillota; Clostridia; Acetivibrionales; Acetivibrionaceae. The record is from RNAcentral.